UGGCGCUCGCCCGCCCCGAGAUCGGCAGGGUGGAGUCGGGCCGCAAUGGCGUCACCGCCUGGGUGGGUCCGGCAUCCGGCGGACCGGCGCCACCGGCCCCCGCUCGGGUUGCGCGCGCGGGGUGCGGUUCAAAACCUCCACAGGAACCAGCCUCCUGUUACAGCCCUCGGAGCUCAGAGGAACACCAGUUAAAGACCUUGCUCUCAGUCCUCUGCAUGCUCUUUCUGGACUACAGAUACUGACUAUGCAUGGGAAGACCCUGGAAAGAUCUGAGAGGAGCAGACAUGUUCUCCCAACGAGGACAGGACCAUCACCCCUUCCUGGGAUGCCCACUGUCCAUCUGUCCUCUGGUGAAAGGGCCUGACCCUCUCAGGCCAGCUCUCUAGUCUCCUGAAGGACCUCACACCCAGGAAAGCCACCUGGAAGGCUGAUAGCCUCCUUUAAGAAAAAACACAGGCUGCACUCGAAGCUCAGCAUCGUCAUUAACUGUAAAUCAUUAGAGACAACCUAUCCGGUUCUUGAACACCUCUUUCCAAUGUCCACGAAUUUCUCCAGUAAACUUCCUUUGAUAUAAGUGACUUCAAUACCAGUGAUCUCAUAAUCAUUUGAGAAAAGAAGACUAGAGAUUGGGAAAAAAGAGUGGAAGAUGGGAAAAGUGUGGUAUCUUGAAAUACUGAUUUUUUUUUUUUAACUAGAGCUCCAAGUGAUUUGUCGGGUUCAGGGUGGCCCAUAGCUCUGACUGCUUUUCAUCACAUUGACUUCUAAAUUAAAAAUAAAAACCUGUAUCCCUA
Molecule: non-coding RNA, 791 nt
Organism: Heterocephalus glaber (naked mole-rat)
Lineage: Eukaryota; Metazoa; Chordata; Mammalia; Rodentia; Bathyergidae
Source: RefSeq, a predicted model, not a curated record